ACGACGCUGGCGGCGUGCCUAAUACAUGCAAGUCGAACGGUCUUUCUAUGGAAGCUUGCUUCCACUGAGAAGAUGGUGGCGAACGGGUGAGUAACACGUGGGUAACCUGCCCAUAAGAGGGGGAUAACAUCCGGAAACGGGUGCUAAUACCGCAUAGUUUUCUUGAUCGCAUGAUUGAGAAAGGGAAGACGGCCUUUGUGCUGUCGCUUAUGGAUGGACCCGCGGCGUAUUAGUUAGUUGGUGAGGUAAUGGCUCACCAAGACGAUGAUACGUAGCCGACCUGAGAGGGUGAUCGGCCACAUUGGGACUGAGACACGGCCCAAACUCCUACGGGAGGCAGCAGUAGGGAAUCUUCCGCAAUGGACGAAAGUCUGACGGAGCAACGCCGCGUGAGUGAAGAAGGUUUUUCCGGAUCGUAAAACUCUGUUGUCAGAGAAGAACAAGUUGGAGAGUAACUGCUCCAGCCUUGACGGUAUCUGACCAGAAAGCCACGGCUAACUACGUGCCAGCCGCAGC
This 516-nucleotide ribosomal RNA is filed under the name uncultured bacterium. RNAcentral's name for it is "bacterial SSU rRNA". It matches the Rfam family "Bacterial small subunit ribosomal RNA", at positions 32 to 518 of the family's 1533-position model. The record is from RNAcentral.